RNAcentral lists this ribosomal RNA (250 nucleotides) under uncultured bacterium. RNAcentral describes it as "partial 16S ribosomal RNA". It matches the Rfam family "Bacterial small subunit ribosomal RNA", at positions 74 to 339 of the family's 1533-position model. The record is from RNAcentral.
CCUAGCUUGCUAGGUGUCGGUUAGUGGCAUACGGGUGAGUAACGCGUAGGAAUAUACCCUUUAGUACGGAACAACAUUUGGAAACGAAUGCUAAUACCGUAUACGCCCUUCGGGGGAAAGAUUUAUUGCUAAAGGAUUAGCCUGCGUUAGAUUAGCUAGUUGGUAGGGUAAUGGCCUACCAAGGCGACGAUCUAUAGCUGGUCUGAGAGGAUGAUCAGCCACACUGGAACUGAGACACGGUCCAGACUCC